Molecule: small RNA, 20 nt
Filed under: Arabidopsis thaliana (thale cress)
Lineage: Eukaryota; Viridiplantae; Streptophyta; Magnoliopsida; Brassicales; Brassicaceae
Description: Ath_wt_11847
Source: RNAcentral
UGUAGGCAAGGGAAGUCGGC